AUUUGGAUUAAGAGAAUAUCCUAGUGCACAUGAUAAACACCAUGCGUGAAGCUGUACUGUAGUUUAACAGCUGUUGUAUCUCUUCGGCACGAUGCGCUGGAUUUUCAAAACAAUAAAAUAAAUAAUUUCUGCUGAACUAAAACUCCAGAAAUGGCGCAGGGUUCUGAUUCUCAGUUCAACUCUGACUUAGAGCUUGCUCUUGCCAACAGUUUACACACUUACAAGCAGGAACAAGCAUGUGUCACUCCGGAGAAAGCUAUCAGGGAAA
Eurytemora carolleeae is the source of this 268-nucleotide long non-coding RNA. RefSeq lists it as uncharacterized. The transcript has 3 exons. NCBI's taxonomy places the organism in Eukaryota, Metazoa, Arthropoda, Copepoda, Calanoida, Temoridae. The record is from RefSeq and is a predicted model, not a curated record.